Molecule: ribosomal RNA, 694 nt
Filed under: Myxococcales bacterium
Lineage: Bacteria; Pseudomonadati; Myxococcota; Myxococcia; Myxococcales
Description: partial 23S ribosomal RNA
Rfam family: Bacterial large subunit ribosomal RNA
Source: RNAcentral
AUGCAGGUCGGGAAACAGUGUUUGGUGGGUAGUUUGACUGGGGCGGUCGCCUCCUAAAGAGUAACGGAGGCGCGCGAAGGUUCCCUCAGGCUGAUUGGAAACCAGCCGCAGAGUGCAAAGGCAUAAGGGAGCUUGACUGCGAGACCUACAAGUCGAGCAGGUGCGAAAGCAGGUCUUAGUGAUCCGGCGGUUCCGAAUGGAAGGGCCGUCGCUCAUCGGAUAAAAGGUACCCCGGGGAUAACAGGCUUAUCUCUCCCAAGAGUUCACAUCGACGGGGAGGUUUGGCACCUCGAUGUCGGCUCAUCGCAUCCUGGGGCUGGAGAAGGUCCCAAGGGUUUGGCUGUUCGCCAAUUAAAGCGGUACGCGAGCUGGGUUCAGAACGUCGUGAGACAGUUCGGUCCCUAUCUGUCGUGGGCGGAGGAUACUUGAAGGGAGUUGACCAUAGUACGAGAGGACCUGGUUGAACGUAUCCCUAGUGUUCCGGUUGUUUCGCCAGAAGCAUAGCCGGGUAGCUAUAUACGGAAUCGAUAACCGCUGAAAGCAUCUAAGCGGGAAGCGAGCCCUAAGAUGAGGUAUCCCUGGACUUCGGUCCCUAAAGGCCACUCGUAGACUACGAGUUUGAUAGGCUGGGUGUGGAAGUGCGGUAACGCAUGUAGCUGACCAGUACUAAUCGGCCGUGAGGCUUGACCUAUUU